This 620-nucleotide ribosomal RNA is filed under the name uncultured Gammaproteobacteria bacterium. Its description in RNAcentral is "bacterial SSU rRNA". It matches the Rfam family "Bacterial small subunit ribosomal RNA", at positions 68 to 679 of the family's 1533-position model. Lineage: Bacteria; Pseudomonadati; Pseudomonadota; Gammaproteobacteria. The record is from RNAcentral.
GGAAACGAUGGGAGCUUGCUCCCAGGCGUCGAGUGGCGGACGGGUGAGUAAUACUUAGGAAUCUGCCCAAUAGUGGGGGACAACUCGGGGAAACUCGAGCUAAUACCGCAUACGCCCUACGGGGGAAAGCGGGGGAUCUUCGGACCUCGCGCUAUUGGAUGAGCCUAAGUCGGAUUAGCUUGUUGGUGGGGUAAAGGCCUACCAAGGCGACGAUCCGUAGCUGGUCUGAGAGGAUGAUCAGCCACACUGGGACUGAGACACGGCCCAGACUCCUACGGGAGGCAGCAGUAGGGAAUAUUGGACAAUGGGCGAAAGCCUGAUCCAGCAAUGCCGCGUGUGUGAAGAAGGCCUGCGGGUUGUAAAGCACUUUCAGUAGAGAAGAAAAGCUUAGGGAUAAUACUCCUGAGUCUUGACGUAACCUACAGAAGAAGCACCGGCUAACUCCGUGCCAGCAGCCGCGGUAAUACGGAGGGUGCGAGCGUUAAUCGGAAUUACUGGGCGUAAAGCGCGCGUAGGCGGCUUGGUAAGUCGGAUGUGAAAGCCCUGGGCUUAACCUGGGAACUGCAUUCGAUACUGCUGAGCUAGAGUAUGGUAGAGGGAAGUGGAAUUUCCGGUGUAGC